RNAcentral lists this ribosomal RNA (724 nucleotides) under uncultured bacterium. RNAcentral's name for it is "bacterial SSU rRNA". It matches the Rfam family "Bacterial small subunit ribosomal RNA", at positions 91 to 801 of the family's 1533-position model. The record is from RNAcentral.
GUGAGUGGCGGACGGGUGAGUAACACGUAGGUAACCUGCCCCGGAGCGGGGGAUAACAUUUGGAAACAGAUGCUAAUACCGCAUAACAACAAAAACCACAUGGCUUUUGUUUGAAAGAUGGCUUUGGCUAUCACUCUGGGAUGGACCCGCGGUGCAUUAGCUAGUUGGUAAGGUAACGGCUUACCAAGGCGAUGAUGCAUAGCCGAGUUGAGAGACUGAUCGGCCACAAUGGAACUGAGACACGGUCCAUACUCCUACGGGAGGCAGCAGUAGGGAAUCUUCCACAAUGGGCGCAAGCCUGAUGGAGCAACACCGCGUGAGUGAAGAAGGGUUUCGGCUCGUAAAACUCUGUUGUUGGAGAAGAACGUGCGUGAGAGUAACUGUUCACGCAGUGACGGUAUCCAACCAGAAAGUCACGGCUAACUACGUGCCAGCAGCCGCGGUAAUACGUUGGUGGCAAGCGUUAUCCGGAUUUAUUGGGCGUAAAGCGAGCGCAGGCGGUUGCUUAGGUCUGAUGUGAAAGCCUUCGGCUUAACCGAAGAAGUGCAUCGGAAACCGGGCGACUUGAGUGCAGAAGAGGACAGUGGAACUCCAUGUGUAGCGGUGGAAUGCGUAGAUAUAUGGAAGAACACCAGUGGCGAAAGCGGCUGUCUGGUCUGCAGCUGACGCUGAGGCUCGAAAGCAUGGGUAGCGAACAGGAUUAGAUACCCUGGUAGUCCAUGCC